RNAcentral lists this small RNA (2015 nucleotides) under Pongo abelii (Sumatran orangutan). Its description in RNAcentral is "retained intron". The record is from RNAcentral. Lineage: Eukaryota; Metazoa; Chordata; Mammalia; Primates; Hominidae.
GAUGGCAGCGAUGAGGAAGGCGCUUCCGCGGCGACUGGUGGGCUUGGCGUCCCUCCGGGCUGUCAGCACCUCAUCUAUGGGCACUUUACCAAAGCGGGUGAAAAUUGUGGAAGUUGGUCCCCGAGAUGGACUACAAAAUGAAAAGAAUAUCGUAUCUACUCCAGUGAAAAUCAAGCUGAUAGACAUGCUUUCUGAAGCAGGACUCUCUGUUAUAGAAACCACCAGCUUUGUGUCUCCUAAGUGGGUUCCCCAGAUGGGUGACCACACUGAAGUCUUGAAGGGCAUUCAGAAGUUUCCUGGCAUCAACUACCCAGUCCUGACCCCAAAUUUGAAAGGCUUCGAGGCAGCGGUUGCUGCUGGAGCCAAGGAAGUAGCCAUCUUUGGAGCUGCCUCAGAGCUCUUCACCAAGAAGAACAUCAAUUGUUCCAUAGAGGAGAGUUUUCAGAGGUUUGACGCAAUCCUGAAGGCAGCGCAGUCAGCCAAUAUUUCUGUGCGGGGGUACGUCUCCUGUGCUCUUGGCUGCCCUUAUGAAGGGAAGAUCUCCCCAGCUAAAGUAGCUGAGGUGUGUGCAUGUGUCAGGGCAGGGGGUUUGGUGAGGGUUGGCCACCUUGUCUGCCCCUGAGCGCAUAGGUUCCUCUCCCCACCCUUUCCUGCAGGUUCCUGACUUCAUUCAUUCACCCACCUCCUUCAUUAAGCUCCCUGCUGUGAGCACAGCCCUGCACUUGCUCCCUAGAGGCCCCCCUCCUGGCCGAACAUGUAGUCCUUGAAGCCCCUGGCCUCUACCCAGCCUGAAAACCUCCGAUUCAGUUUCCAGUCUGGUCGUUGAGGUGAUUCUCUGAGGAGGGGCUCCUUACCCAGGAGUUCCCACAGUUCCUUGUAGUGAUUGAAAGGCCACAACCCUGAUGUCCUCUGAACAGUCACCAGGUCGGCACUGAGAAGAACACGGCACGGGAAUUGAGUUUGACCAGCCCAAGAACUUACGUCAUUUAGUCCUCAAAAACCACUGUGCAAAUUUGGUAUUAUUAUUCCCUUUUACAGUUGAGGAAACUGACACUAAAUAACUUGCCACACAGGUUACAAAUGGGGAAAUCAGGUAUCAAACCCCAUUUUUUCUCUCUCCAAAGCCCACUUCUUCCCAGGAUACUUUGUGGCAUCCAGAUAGGUGGAAUGGUAACAGUAGCAACUGUUUCUUGGGAGCAGCUGCCCUGCUCCAGGUCUUAGCCUCAGUUGCCACAAUCCUUGCCAUAUGACCAAAGGGUCAUCACCAUUUUUCAGAAGCAGAAAUUGAAGCUCAGAAAAGUUAAGUUGCUUGCCAAGGCCCACAGCUAGUGAGCAGCAGAACUAGGACUUUAACCCAGCGUCUCCUGACUUCAAAGGCCUGCUCCUUCCCCUGCACCCUGCUGCCCCCUAAAGGCCAGCCACUGCCACCCCACACUCUGUGCAGGGCCACUGGGGAAGCCACGCCACCAUUUCAUUUAUUUAGCAGAUCAUUGGUGUCUUCUGCUCCCCUUUCCCUGCUACAUCCCUCUGCAGCUUGUCCAGCAGCCCCGUGUGGGCAACAGCUCCUUGGGUGAGGCCAUCUUUUUUUAAGUUCACCAGUCGUAUGGGAUUAGGGGCCCACCCUAUUCCAGUAUGGCUUAUUCCAAUUGGACCCAUAUUGGACCUAUUCCAAUAUGGACCCAUUUUGCAGUGGUUUUAGAGAUGUGCAAAUGGGCUUCUAAACAUUUAAAUAGUGAUGUACCUUUAUUAAAAAAUAUAACUAUUGGCCGGGCGUGGUGGCUCACACCUGUAAUCCCAGCACUUUGGGAGGCUGAGAUGGGCGGAUCACGAGGUCAGGAGAUCGAGACCAUCCUGGCUAACAUGGUGAAACCCCGUCUCUACUAAAAAUACAAAAAAUUAGCCAGGCGUGGUGGUGGGCGCCUGUAGUCCCAGCUACUCGGGAGGCUGAGGUAGGAGAAUGGCGUGAACCCAGGAGGCGGAGCUUGCAGUGAGCUGAGAUUGCACCACCGCACUCC